RNAcentral lists this ribosomal RNA (457 nucleotides) under uncultured bacterium. Its description in RNAcentral is "bacterial SSU rRNA". It matches the Rfam family "Bacterial small subunit ribosomal RNA", at positions 329 to 800 of the family's 1533-position model. The record is from RNAcentral.
GAGUGGACUCCUACGGGAGGCAGCAGUGGGGAAUAUUGGACAAUGGACCAAAAGUCUGAUCCAGCAAUUCUGUGUGCACGAUGAAGUUUUUCGGAAUGUAAAGUGCUUUCAGUUGGGAAGAAGAAAGUGACGGUACCAACAGAAGAAGUGACGGCUAAAUACGUGCCAGCAGCCGCGGUAAUACGUAUGUCACAAGCGUUAUCCGGAUUUAUUGGGCGUAAAGCGCGUCUAGGCGGUUAAUUAAGUCUGAUGUGAAAAUGCGGAGCUCAACUCCGUAUUGCGUUGGAAACUGGUUAACUAGAGUACUGGAGAGGUAAGCGGAACUACAAGUGUAGAGGUGAAAUUCGUAGAUAUUUGUAGGAAUGCCGAUGGGGAAGCCAGCUUACUGGACAGAUACUGACGCUAAAGCGCGAAAGCGUGGGUAGCAAACAGGAUUAGAUACCCUUGUAGUCCUAUC